Long non-coding RNA from Prunus mume (Japanese apricot), 1110 nucleotides. RefSeq lists it as uncharacterized. The record is from RefSeq and is a predicted model, not a curated record. NCBI's taxonomy places the organism in Eukaryota, Viridiplantae, Streptophyta, Magnoliopsida, Rosales, Rosaceae.
AAGGACUAUUAUUCGCUCGCUCCAGAUUUUUCAUUUUUAUCCUGCUUACAAUUUAUCCUUCGUCUCGUUUUGCUAUGGCCUCCGCCGAGAUCGCGGAGAUUGAGUUCCGAUAGUUCGUCGGUGAGCUCCUCUGGACCACCGACAAUGAGGCACUGGAGAGGGUCUUUUCCCCCUCCGAUGAAAGAUACCGAAUCGAAGAUCAUCGAGGACCGUCAGAUCGGUAGGUCGAGGUGCUUCGGAUUCGUUACCAGCAACAUGCGAAUGCGAUCCAAGGAGGCCAGAACCUUGAUUUGAGGACAUCUGGUCUUUUUGGUUGUGUCCUUGCUCAUGUUCGUGUGAUGUACUUGCGGUGGUUCCCACGAAUGUACCAUAGGUAAUCACUUUUUCAUUAUGUCAGGUGACCAUGGGAACAACAUGGGAGGCAACCUCACCACUAGCUUUCCAGAUCACGAGGACCUAUUUGCACCAUUACACCUUUUGUAGUUAUUAAAGAAUUUGACUGCCAGACAAAUAAUUUAACUAGUGGUUUCUCACUGAAUCAGGAAAUUUUUUUUUAACUGGAAGCAACUGCCUGCCAGUGCUGCAGCUAAAUGCAAUUGAUCUAUACCAGAUGAAACUUUGGGACGAAGAAGCUGAGUCCGUGGAACUUCAGUCAAAUUUCUUCUUUCUUUAGAGGGAAAAUGUUCUGUAAUGUUUCCCUUUCUUCGUCUGUCAUGGUUCAACGUAUUGGACCAAUAAGGCAAUGGGCUUAAAUACCAGGGGUUCCUAUUUCAAACGGCCCCCUUUUUAUUCCAACUUCUAAUAUUGCGGGGAGGCUAGAAUGCAAGAAUUCUAUAGGUAGGGCCUUAUAUAUGGCUCUUAGGUGAGCCUCUAUCUCUUAAUCGUUGGAUCAAAUUAGUUAGCUUAAUCUAACGGUUAAGAGAUAGGACCUCACUUAAGGGCUAUAUAUAAGGCACUCACUAUAGAAUGACUUGGCUAGAAUGAGGGGUUAUUAUGAGCGGGUAAUAGCCGUUCGAUUCAGUGCGGGGUUAUUAUUGGAUUGUUAGAUAUGACCUCCUCAUUGUAAACCCUCAACAUAGCCGACUCAUUCUAUAGUGAGGACAUUAUAUA